Molecule: non-coding RNA, 83 nt
Organism: Pangasius djambal
Lineage: Eukaryota; Metazoa; Chordata; Actinopteri; Siluriformes; Pangasiidae
Source: the annotation of a GenBank genome assembly
ACUAGGAUGGCUGAGUGGUUAAAGUGUUGGACUUAAACUCCACUAGACAGAUGUUCUUGUGGGUUCAAACCCCACUCCUGGUA